ACGGGAGGCAGCAGUGGGGAAUAUUGCACAAUGGGCGAAAGCCUGAUGCAGCGACGCCGCGUGAACGAUGAAGUAUUUCGGUAUGUAAAGUUCUAUCAGCAGGGAAGAUAAUGACGGUACCUGACUAAGAAGCUCCGGCUAAAUACGUGCCAGCAGCCGCGGUAAUACGUAGGGAGCAAGCGUUAUCCGGAAUUACUGGGUGUAAAGGGAGUGUAGGCGGGACUGUAAGUCAGAUGUGAAAUAUACCGGCUCAACUGGUAGACUGCAUUUGAAACUGCGGUUCUUGAGUGAAGUAGAGGUAAGCGGAAUUCCUAGUGUAGCGGUGAAAUGCGUAGAUAUUAGGAGGAACGUCAGUGGCGAAGGCGGCUUACUGGGCUUUAACUGACGCUGAGGCUCGAAAGCGUGGGGAGCAAACAGGAUUAGAUACCCUGGUA
Molecule: ribosomal RNA, 434 nt
Filed under: uncultured Lachnospiraceae bacterium
Lineage: Bacteria; Bacillati; Bacillota; Clostridia; Lachnospirales; Lachnospiraceae
Description: partial 16S ribosomal RNA
Rfam family: Bacterial small subunit ribosomal RNA
Source: RNAcentral